Molecule: long non-coding RNA, 527 nt
Filed under: Pan troglodytes (chimpanzee)
Lineage: Eukaryota; Metazoa; Chordata; Mammalia; Primates; Hominidae
Description: lincRNA
Source: RNAcentral
AGUCGAAGAGGCUAAUUCCGGGCCUCUUAUAAAAAUAAGAAAGAAAAGCCUCGUUUCCUCUAGAUCAGAGAGAUGGCUUCUGGAUUCAUCUUUCCCUGCAAUCCAGCUUCUCCUCCUGGGGCACUCAUACUGCAGACUGGGAUCAUCAUCCAGGCUUUUGCACUGGGCCAGGAAUUUGGGAGUCAUCCUGGAUCCGUCUGCCCCUGUCAACCUUUCUCUGUCAACAGAUAUUUAUUGGGCAUCUCCAACAGCCAGGCCCUGUUCAUGAUGCUGAAGAACAGCAUGUAUAAAACAACCCUGCCCUCACAGGGCGAUCACCAGUGACCUGUGGUGUGGAGCCUCCUUUUACCUCUGUCUCCUCCUUCCCACUGUCACCAUCCUUGGUCCUCCUCUGUCACCUGGAAUACUCCACUUGGUAACCAGCAUGAUCUUCUAAUGCUAGUUUUACCCUUGUCAGCACUUUGCCGAAAACCUCAAAUAAAGAUUUUUUUAAAAUGUGCGAUGGAAAACUAAAGUUAUAAAUUAUA